This 253-nucleotide ribosomal RNA is filed under the name uncultured bacterium. RNAcentral describes it as "partial 16S ribosomal RNA". It matches the Rfam family "Bacterial small subunit ribosomal RNA", at positions 524 to 776 of the family's 1533-position model. The record is from RNAcentral.
UACGGGGGGGGCAAGCGUUGUUCGGAAUUACUGGGCGUAAAGGGCUCGUAGGUGGCCAACUAAGUCAUACGUGAAAUCCCUCGGCUUAACCGGGGAACUGCGUCUGAUACUGGAUGGCUUGAGGUUGGGAGAGGGAUGCGGAAUUCCAGGUGUAGCGGUGAAAUGCGUAGAUAUCUGGAGGAAUACCGGUGGCGAAGGCGGCAUCCUGGACCGACAUUGACGCUGAAAACCGAAAGCUAGGGGAGCAAACGGG